RNAcentral lists this ribosomal RNA (434 nucleotides) under uncultured bacterium. Its description in RNAcentral is "partial 16S ribosomal RNA". It matches the Rfam family "Bacterial small subunit ribosomal RNA", at positions 29 to 507 of the family's 1533-position model. The record is from RNAcentral.
AGCGAACGCUGGCGGCAGGCCUAACACAUGCAAGUCGAACGAACCUUUCGGGGUUAGUGGCGGACGGGUGAGUAACACGUGGGAACGUGCCUCUAGGUUCGGAAUAACUCAGGGAAACUUGUGCUAAUACCGAAUGUGCCCUUCGGGGGAAAGAUUUAUCGCCUUUAGAGCGGCCCGCGUCUGAUUAGCUAGUUGGUUGAGGUAAUGGCUCACCAAGGCGACGAUCAGUAGCUGGUCUGAGAGGAUGAUCAGCCACAUUGGGACUGAGACACGGCCCAAACUCCUACGGGAGGCAGCAGUGGGGAAUCUUGCGCAAUGGGCGAAAGCCUGACGCAGCCAUGCCGCGUGAAUGAUGAAGGUCUUAGGAUUGUAAAAUUCUUUCACCGGGGACGAUAAUGACGGUACCCGGAGAAGAAGCCCCGGCUAACUUCGUG